Molecule: unclassified non-coding RNA, 233 nt
Filed under: Hevea brasiliensis (rubber tree)
Lineage: Eukaryota; Viridiplantae; Streptophyta; Magnoliopsida; Malpighiales; Euphorbiaceae
Source: RNAcentral
AAUAAGGGCUAGGAUUUAAUGGUACUAGAAUUUAUCUUUAUUUCUUUAACAAACUCCUAAUCUAAUGGUCUAAAUUUAACUCCUAAGAAGAAUGAAUAGCUAAGAUCACUUUGUACCAUUUUGUCAUUUUCACUUUUAAUUCUAAGGUCCCAAUUAAUUCUUACAAAAAUAAAGGGCCAAGAUUAAAAGGUAUAAAAUGCUUUAACUAAUUUUUAAUCUAAGGAUAGAAAUUA